This 939-nucleotide ribosomal RNA is filed under the name Klebsiella pneumoniae. RNAcentral describes it as "bacterial SSU rRNA". It matches the Rfam family "Bacterial small subunit ribosomal RNA", at positions 514 to 1453 of the family's 1533-position model. Lineage: Bacteria; Pseudomonadati; Pseudomonadota; Gammaproteobacteria; Enterobacterales; Enterobacteriaceae. The record is from RNAcentral.
GCCGCGGUAAUACGGAGGGUGCAAGCGUUAAUCGGAAUUACUGGGCGUAAAGCGCACGCAGGCGGUCUGUCAAGUCGGAUGUGAAAUCCCCGGGCUCAACCUGGGAACUGCAUUCGAAACUGGCAGGCUAGAGUCUUGUAGAGGGGGGUAGAAUUCCAGGUGUAGCGGUGAAAUGCGUAGAGAUCUGGAGGAAUACCGGUGGCGAAGGCGGCCCCCUGGACAAAGACUGACGCUCAGGUGCGAAAGCGUGGGGAGCAAACAGGAUUAGAUACCCUGGUAGUCCACGCCGUAAACGAUGUCGAUUUGGAGGUUGUGCCCUUGAGGCGUGGCUUCCGGAGCUAACGCGUUAAAUCGACCGCCUGGGGAGUACGGCCGCAAGGUUAAAACUCAAAUGAAUUGACGGGGGCCCGCACAAGCGGUGGAGCAUGUGGUUUAAUUCGAUGCAACGCGAAGAACCUUACCUGGUCUUGACAUCCACAGAACUUUCCAGAGAUGGAUUGGUGCCUUCGGGAACUGUGAGACAGGUGCUGCAUGGCUGUCGUCAGCUCGUGUUGUGAAAUGUUGGGUUAAGUCCCGCAACGAGCGCAACCCUUAUCCUUUGUUGCCAGCGGUCCGGCCGGGAACUCAAAGGAGACUGCCAGUGAUAAACUGGAGGAAGGUGGGGAUGACGUCAAGUCAUCAUGGCCCUUACGACCAGGGCUACACACGUGCUACAAUGGCAUAUACAAAGAGAAGCGACCUCGCGAGAGCAAGCGGACCUCAUAAAGUAUGUCGUAGUCCGGAUUGGAGUCUGCAACUCGACUCCAUGAAGUCGGAAUCGCUAGUAAUCGUAGAUCAGAAUGCUACGGUGAAUACGUUCCCGGGCCUUGUACACACCGCCCGUCACACCAUGGGAGUGGGUUGCAAAAGAAGUAGGUAGCUUAACCUUCGGGAGGGCGC